Long non-coding RNA from Mus musculus (house mouse), 17752 nucleotides. RefSeq annotates it as predicted gene, 54202. The transcript has 3 exons. The record is from RefSeq and is a predicted model, not a curated record. Lineage: Eukaryota; Metazoa; Chordata; Mammalia; Rodentia; Muridae.
UCCAGACCCCCAUCAGAGCCCUGAACUACAGGGCAGCUAUGCACGGUACAGAGGGGAGUUUGAGCAGAGCUGUGUACUGAUCAUCAGGAGGCCUUGCUGUGUAGACAGCUGUGCUUUGGUUUUCUAGUUUGUGUCCAUAAGGAAUCCUUUUGAUAUGAUUCUAUGUAUUUUUUUCUAAUCUAUUUUUAAUCACACUUUCUUUUUGGGAAUUCAAAGAUUGACCCUGAGUAAAAUCUGGGAGUCUUCCUAAACUUAGCAUCUUCUCAUUGUUUACAUUCCAUCCAUGUCUGUGGUGCCCACUCCUUCCUCUUCACCGGGGCAUCAUUUAUGUACACACUGUAUAGGCUGGGCACUUUGUGCACACAUUGCUGAGAGUAACGAGGCUCACUUGAUUCAAGUUAAUGGGGUUCACAGCCCAGAGGUGCUGUGCUUUUCUAUGUCCUGUAAAGAUGUUAGAGAGGCCAGCCCCCUCAAUUUAAUUUGCCUUUGUAAAAGCACCAGCUCCUGCUCGUAGCCUCUCGUCCUUCCUGGCUAACCUUUGGCCACAGUGAACAUCUGCCAAUGCAAAUCUGACAGAGAUACUCUCUUAGUUACAUCCCUAAGUAGCUUUCCCCUUUCCUCCUUAAACACACUACAUCUAAUUUUUAUCAGACAGCUCUUUCACUGUACCCUGGGCUUGUUGAUUCAUCUAGACUAGAGAGCCAAGGAGCUCAAGAACACCUCCAUAUCCUCUCUCUGCUCCACCGAGUGCCCAGGUUACAGAAGAGCUCUGCUAUGCCUGGAUUUUACGUGGGUACUGGGGGAUCCAGACUCAGACCCUCAAGUUGGCAAGGGGGUCUUAGUUUCCUUUUAAGUUGUGAUAAAAUUCUAUGGCAAUAAUCAUCCUCAGGGGGAAAGGGUUUCUUUUAGCUCAUAGCUGUAGGUUAUGGUUCAUCAUGGUGGGGCAGUCAAGGCAUCAGGAGCUUGAAGAAGCUGGCCAUAUUGUAUCAGUUGGAGUAGAAAAGCAGGGCCAGUGCUGACCUCACGUUCUUAGUCUCUGCUAUUACCCAGUCCAGGAUACACCUCCCCAACCCACCUACACUCAACCUGUCUACUAAGUGAAUGGUGCUACCCACACUGCACAGGUCUUCCCACCACAAUUAGCAUAAUAAAGAUAAUCUACCACACACAUGUCCAGAAGUUCACCUCCCAAGUGAUUCUAGAUCGUGCCAAGUUGACAGCUUACACUAACCAUCACACAGGGCAAGCACUUACCCUCUCUGCCACCUCCUCAGUUCCCAGGCUCUGUGGUUUAAGUCUAAAAUUCUAAAGUCUAAAGUUUAAAGGCCAUGCAUGGACCCUCUACCUAGAACAUUAUCUUUUCCUUGGGCUGCCCUAGAACUUUUCCUUUGAGGCUCAGUCAGAGUUACCUCUGAUGAAACUUUUCUAACUGCCCAUGUGGGGAUUGACACUUGGGUCUGUAGGCCCUCAUCGCACCCACCAUUACAGCAAUGGAGCAUUUCAGUUCCCAUGCCUGUCUUCCUGUCUGCAGCUCUUGACUUCUGUGAGGCCCUGGAGGGUAGUGUUUGCUAUUCCUUAUUUGUGAGCCAGCACAGUGCCAACAGGUAGCAGCAGCCUUCUAUUAAAUAUCUAUGAAAUGAAUCCAACUUGGUUUUAGGUUUAAAUGAACAGUUUCCCAGUGAAACUCACCGGAAAUGAAAGCUAUUUUAAUCUUAAGCUUUCUCCUCACCUUCACUGAAACCCAGUAGUUUAGACUACACAAUAGCCUUUGUGAACUUGUUCUUGUCAAAGUCUUGUGAGAAUUGUGGAGGGCUGGGCUAGGAGGAGCUGGGGUGAAGGAAAUACAAUGUAACGUGCUGGCAUUUUUAUAUUGAUUCCCUUACCCGAUCUUCCCAAAAUGCAAGUGGGAAACAUAACAUCACUGUGAUUAGGUUUAAAGAGAUAAAGCAGCUUCAAAACAAAAUGAGAAAACCCAGAUAAGGAUAUUCAGUCAGAAUUCUUAAGGGGCAUUCAACUCUGAACAACAAUUUGACUGACGUUGGUUAUGAAAAGAAAACUUACAUAAGAGAAAAUGAAACCCCUUGUUGGAAAGGACCCCUGUCAUCUGGGCAAAGAACUCAUGCGUUAGAGUUGCAGUUGGAGAGAGCUGCUGUCCACAUCAAAUAGAAGAAGGCUCAUGCCUCAGACUCUUAAUUACUGAGCAAAGGGAACUUAAUUUUUUGUAUGUAUUCCUCUUUAUCUAAAGAUGCAUAAGAAUCUGAGAAAGCUGAACUUCAUAGACGCUGGCCCCUCACUGCCUUUAUUGAAACCCCAGGUCUAACAUAUCAUACUUAUAUAAACUUGGGUAAGUUAUAUAACCUCUCUAAGAGUGUGAUUCCUCACCUGUGAAAUGAUGUUACACAAUAAUGACAUCUUCCCCACAGGGACUUAGAAAAGAUUUAGUAUAAAUACAUUUGAAAUGGUGAGCAGCUCAGGUUUAGCAGGCAUUAUUACCAUCUAGAUACAUCAUCCUUGUCCCACCAUCACUACCACCAUCACCACCACCACCAUCACCACCAUCAUUAUCUAGAGACCAUGGUGAUUACAAUCUGCAGAGGAACAUUGUCCCAGUGGCCUCUGAGCUCUUAUUAUUUUAUAACUUUGUAUGAAAUCCAGUUAUUUUUGUUCAGUACUUUACUUUAUAGGACAUUACAGUUUGAAAAAAUAAGCACAAUAAUUAUAUCAAGCACAAAAUAAAUUAAUCAAUUUAUUGAUUAUUUAGUUAUCCAUUUUUUUCUGAUGUCUAAUUAAUAAGUGUUUUCAGUGUGGCUUCAUGUCUUUUGUAUUUUUGUGAUUGUUCUGAAUGAAUAGUGUAGUUCACCAUGAAGUAGGACUUAAAGGUUUUUCUCUAGUUGAUAGCAUAAAAUACAAAAAAUCAAAAUACAUAAAUAGAAAGUCCAAUUUUUAUGUCUUUACCAUAUGUUGCACUUUUGAGAUAGAUUCAUCCAACAGUAUCUUCAAUUUUGUCUUAGAGAAUCUCAGAAAUAAAACAUGCAGAUGUUGGUCUCAGUUAAUAAAGCAAAUCCAUGGCUUUGUUAUUUAUCAAAGUGAAGAAGUGUUUUCUUAGCUUCAGCAAUGUCAUUUAUGUUGUUAAUUAUCGUUGUCUUCAUCUUUGUCCAAAAGGAAGUUUUAGUUCUGAUCUCUUUAUAUUCAUACUGACUUGAAAUCUGGCUUUUAAAAAGUUAGGAAAUUCAAUAGUCACCUCACUUAAUCAAAUAAACUAACACGGGGAAAACAACCAUGGCACGAGCCUUUUAAUAAGAUAAGAACUUGGGUCCAGAGAAAAGACUUUCCUGGCUGAGAAAACCAUUCAUAGGUAUCUGAUAUUUACUAUUCCUGGGGACGAUGUUUUAAUAUUUACUGCUUUGACCUCAAUAUUCUAACUCUGAGGACAUUUUUAGUAUAAUCAUUGCAGCUAGGGUCACACCAACAUAAAGUAAUUAGGUUCAUGAAAACACUUUCUGGAUUAAGACCUUUAGGCCAACUCUACUUCCCAAUUAAUCUUCAAUAGACUGUGCUUAAUGAUUUGUAAGUUCUUUCCAUUUUCUUUUUAUAUUACUCAAAUUAUUUCCACCAAGAUCAAUUCUUUUCACUAAAUCUUAUGUCAGUAUUCAUUUUUGUCACUGAUAAGUUACUUUAAAAAUUAUUAUAGCUUUGGACACAGUUUUUCUCUUAUACUCAUUAUUUAUGCAAAGUGAAGUUUCCUUGGAAUAGUAUAUUUUUUCACUAAUUUUAAGAUAGUAAAUUUUAGCAGUAUAUUUUUAGUACUGAUAGAGCUUUCAAUCUAAUAGUAUGUUAAUCAUUUCUAUCAAGAGUAUUCUUGAGGAAUUUUUAAAGUUUUACAAUGUUCAGAUCAGAGCCGUUCUGUCUGUUCCUUCAAACAUCACUUGUGAAUGAGAGAGAAACUUACGAUUCUUUCUUUUCGGGAAUAUCAACCAUACUCCAGGGCAAGCCCGGUGCCCAGGAGUAGUUGGCCAAUAUAAAUUGGACUUCAUGGGGUUUGUGAGAUUUUUGUUUUGUUAUUUUUGGCCUAUUACUUAUUUGUUUUAAUAUUCACUUUUUGAGAGGGGGAAUGAAGUUGAAUGAGCAGGGAGAUAGAGAAGGUCUGGGAGGAGUUGGGGGAAGGGACAUCAUACUAUCAAAAUAAAUUGUAUGAAACACUUAAAUAUAACAUGAAAGAUUUUUUUCUAGCUUUUAAAAAUAUAUACAAGACAUCAUUAUUAUUUUCCACAGUCAUUCUAUUGUACAACAUAGUAUAAGAUUGCAUCACUUACUAUGUAACUUAGUAUACAGUGACUAACUUUUAUUGAAUUCAUAAUGAUUUUUUUUUGUUUGUUUACAGCAGAGGGUCUUUACCUCAUAGUAAACAAAAAGUAGUGAGGGAGAGACCAAAAGGAGCCUGUGACUAGAUACAGCAGAAGGACACAUGUCCAAUGAACUACUUUCACCAAAUUGCUCCAUUUCCUAUCAUUUCCAGGACCUCUGGAACAGCACCACCCCCGGGGGACUGACCACUUCACCAGGAGGUUUUUGCGGACAAUUCCUAUUCAAGCCAUAAUGGUAGAGUUUCAAAACACAAGCACACCUGCUGUGAUGGGCAAGGCUGAUUUCUGAGUUCUCCUUCUGAUUGCUACCUAUGAUCUUUGCUAAACAACACCAAGAAUGUUACAACUCCAUAUUGCAAUGCUAUUUAGAACAUGAAUUUCAGUUAAUCCACCCUCCGUGUGAGCAAAGAGGGUAAUGGCUUUUUCAAUGCCAUUCUAUACUAGAGCAUGGGUCCAGGCAAAAGAUGAAACACUACGCUAAUGACAGCUGCGGGAGAGAUAAACCAUCUUCCAGCUUCAGAAAUUGUCUGCCAAUAGAUUUGGUUUCAAGCUUCACAUGAUGAGUGUUUGAUGUGGAAAGGAAACAGGGCACCCUAGUGGAGACAGAUGAAAGGGGGAGGCCACAGGGGACUCCCUCUGCAAGAGGCUUGGAACUAUAUCUGGUGUUUCAAGUGUGAAAACAAACUGGGUAGAUGUCUUAAGAACAAGGAAAAAUAAUACUGAAUCCAACUCCGAAAAAACAAAAACAAGAACAGGUCAGUUGCGGCCCAUCACCCUCUACAAGAGCUUGGAUUCCUGCCUGGUUGAUGAACAAGAGAGAAGGUGGUUCCAUUGCUUCCUGAGGCUCUCUGUUGGUAUUGUCCUCUCAGUGUGUCCCCCAUAAUGCAUUUGAUAUCUGCCGCACUUUGCCACUGCACUGCCACCUCAGGAUGAACCUCUACACUCCAUUACUUGUUUCUCUUGCCUAGGGAGAAGGCUGGGCCUGGCGGAAGAGCACUGGGCUUGGGGAAAGAGAAGCUGAGACUGAAUUUAACUUUGCCACGUACUAGCUGUGAGAUCCUGAGCAUGCCUAGCCCAUUUAAGGCUGGGAUUUCUCAUAUAAUAAAUGAAAAUAGUAUCACUAAGAGCUACGGGGGCGGGGGGGGGGCGGGUAGUUACAUGAGGCGCUUUUUGGGAUUGCCCAGUGUAUAGCUGAUGAAGACAGACCUCUCAUGGUCUAGAUCAGUGGUUCUCAACCUGUGGGUCAUGAAUCCUUUGUGGGUUGAAGGUCUCUUUCACAGGGGUUGCUCACUGUUUUCCAGACCUACAACCUGCUUGCUUACUGGACAACCUUUGCAAGCCUGAGUUCCCGCAGGCCCUACCUAUGUUCUGGACGACUCCUACUCACCAUUGGAGCAUCAAGAGCUCUUUCUCUCUGGAACCUUUCUGAUGUCUCUACUCCACUGGAAAAUUUACAAGCGUCAUACUUCUGCUGGGCAUUGUGUAUUCCUUGAUUAUAGAUUUUUUUAGUUGAGGAAAUAUAUCUUCUCAGUAAGAUGGAAAUUUUAUAAAGGUAGAGAUUUGACUUUUAUUUUGAAUCCCUAGAAUGUACUGUUUUCCAGGGUUAUACUUAACCUAGAUACGGUAAAUGACUAUGGCUUAAGAAAAAGUAGGCUAAUCAAGCCAGUUGAUUCUACACUAAGGCCAACAAAAGGUAAACGGACUGGGUAUUGGGCUUGCCCAUCAUUAUGGGUAAAUUAAAGGUAGAAAGGAAAGAAAUUGGGGGAUUGGUGGUCUUAUUUAGAACACCAGCAAUCUUCUCUUUGCUAGAGAAAGCAUUUAAGCUGUCUAUUUUAGGGUGAAGAUGCUAAGGCACAGAAAGGUAAGGACUUUGUCCAUUCAUUAAUGCCAGAGACAGACUCUUACUGACCUCUCUUCUACAGAACUAUUUCCCUUGAAUCUCAUUGCUUUGAAAAGAUCCUCAAAUGAUUUCAAAUAUUGGGAUAUCCAAAGACUGACACUGAGGCAGGAUGGAUUUAUUCAGGAGCACUGGAAAUCCUGAGAAAGUUAUCAAGGCUCUAAAACUUGGCCCCAGUCUGCUGCUGCUGCUGAGAAGAGAAGAUCCUUACUUUGGGAUUUCAUCCUUUUCAACUUUGUCUGUCUUUGUGGAUGCUGUCCUUUCUCUGGUCUGAAGUUCAAGAGUUACAUCAAGUUGUUCAGUCCUGUUGAAGUUGGAAAACCUUAGAGAAGGCUCCAAAGUCACUUCCUGGGCUGCCAUCUGCUCCGUCUACAGCUCUCUCAGUGACCAGAGAGCCAGUUCCCUGACUUUACAGCUGUGGCCACCCCUCCCUUCAUUUUGAAGACAGUGGGUACACCAGGAGGUCAGCGGGCAUGAGGACCACUGUGUGUCUGCCAGCAGCCACACACUGGGUCAUCAGGAAAGGACCUGCCCUCUCUGAACUGACAUUUCCAGAUGCUCAUGGAGGCAUGCUGCUUUCUCCACUAGCAGAUCUCACUGCAGCCAGUGACUAAUUGAAUCUCAUUUGCCUUGUCACUGAUGGGGUCGCUGUAGUAUUUUCUCUGGAAUUUAUGACAGAUGCUGGCCAAAGAGCCCUUUAGAUAUCAGAAUUUGGGGACUUUUAAGAGAAUGAGGCUCUUGGCACAUUUUAAGAGAAUUGGGCUAUGGGUGGACACUGUGUUGGAAACCCAGCAUCCUCUCCAUUUUCAUCUGUAUAGAUCUAACUACACAACAGCCAAUUAAGCAAACAGCCAGGCUUCAUGGUUUAUCAGGCAGUGUUUCCAUCAGUGAAGGACUUAGCGGACUGAACAAUUUGUGUAUUUGGGGUAAACAUAUUUCAGAAAUGAAUGCACUCAGCCAUCUGAGUUUAUAUUCAGACAUGAAAUUAUGGUUAAAUAUAGAAACAAUUGACUCCCCUCUAUGCUGAAGACAUUGGCAAUGAGUUUUCCAGAGAUCAGCUCCAUAGAUUUUCGAGCUUCGGUGGCUGCUGGGAUUUGUGCUUUAUGGAGUCCUGUCUUGGAUGACUGAUGGCUGGUUUAUUGGAAGUCAGGCUCUCAGAACCAUUAUAUGUGCGCAUAUAAAAGUCACUUUGGCUAUAAGUUCAAAUGUUGUAUGCUACGUGGAAUGGACAGAGUCCAGUGUUUUCGUUACUAACUUCCUUCAAUUAACUUUGCUUUAUCUUAGCAGGGGAACGUGUCUGAUUGUCACCCAGUGUCAGAAGGCAAUUAACCCACUGACACAACACAAGGAAAAACAUGUUCAGAGACAAAGCAAACAUGCUCAGGAAAAAUUACUUGGUAUUUUUUUAUUAAUUAAUUUCCCAGCCAUCAAAGACCGCCUUCAGCUUUCUUUUGCGUGAGCACAUUCCUUUUACUACAAGUUCCCAUUUUAUCAGCCCUCUAAACACAGGGAGCGGUUAUGUCCACGGGAUCCCAAAAGGAUGGGGCAGCUGCAUGCCAGGGCUUCAGCUUUCUGAUAUUAUUCCAGGUCCUUCUCACAUUGGGGACAGCCAGAAGUGAUCACAGGGCUCUCCAUGACUUUACCAGGCACGCUCCCUGAAAUCCCAGCUUUUCUGCCUUCUCCAGUCUUAGUAUUCACAUCCACCUUUACUGAACAUUCCAGUGUAUGUCAGGAUCUCUUCUAAAUACUCUCAAAUGCUCUCUUCUGUAGUCUCCCCUCCCCCAGCCUGAAACCUGCUUGCUCAGGGGUGGAGCUUCCUGCUCAUUCGUUCUGCCACACCCACUGCUGGAACCUGCGGAGCCACACACGUGCACCUUUCUACUGGACCAGAGAUUAUUCGGCGGGAAUCGGGUCUCCUCCCCCUUCCUUCAUAACUAGUGUCGCAACAAUAAAAUUUGAGCCUUGAUCAGAGUAACUGUCUUGGCUACAUUCCUUUCUCUCGCCACCUAGCCCCUCUUCUCUUCCAGGUUUCCAAAAUGCCUUUCCAGGCUAGAACCCAGGUUGUGGUCUGCUGGCCGGACACAACACUCUUCUUUAGCCAUCACAACAUUCUUUCCAAGAAAUUGCUAAUUUUCUCAUUCUACAGAUGAAGAUGCUGGGAUGAUACAAUGUGAAGAUAUUGAGUGAGGGCACACAGCUAAAAGGUCCUGCCUCUCUUCCACCCCAUGGCAAGACUUUGAGCUGAAUAGAUGCUCAUUAACUGCUUACUUCAUCUAUUUUUCCUUUUCUGAGGAUACACAAGUCGUCUACUCUGGAUGAGGAGAGGGUCUGGUGGAGACCACCAUUUGAUUAAGCACACCAUACAGCAUAUCCCUGAGCACUCAGAAGUCCAUCAUUGUGCGUUGAGCAUCACAUGGACACAGCGGACUCAUGUUAUGAGAAAGGCUGGGACAAAAUAUUGUGUAAACAGACCACAGGGAACCACACAAAUGCCUAUGGGCACAAAGGAAGCUUUUUGCAGAGAAAACAAAAGUUACUGGAUUUGAUCUAAAGGAGGCAGACAUGCUCCAGGUACAGAGGGCAGAAGGCUUGCACAGAGGAACAGUGUAUGCAAAGGUGUGGGUGGGAGGAGGGGGCCUGGAUGUUCCCAGAGAAAAGCUAUCCUAUGUUGCUAUCAGAUAGGAGAUACAAAGAGUCUCAUAACUGGGUAGCUGCCUUUGUAUCUCUGAGUUUGUGGAAGUGUCUGGUUAGUAUCUCCAUGGAUAGGGUCAGGGCUUGAGACUAGAGAGAGUAGGAAAAGAUUGUGGUGGCUGCGUUGGGAGAUGAUACUUUUCCAUAAAGGUAAAGCAGAGAAAGAAAGGGACUCUGCAACAGAACUCAUUGGAAGCCACAGGUAUGAAAACAAAAGUAGAAAGUGCUAUGGUUUCGCUGUGGAAUUUCCCUCAUAGGUUCAUAUGUUUGAAUAAUUAGUUGCCAGCUGGUGGUGCUAUCUAGGGAGAUGAUGAAGUCAUCAUGGGUGGGGCUUAGAGGGAGGAGUUGUGGGGCAUGCUUUUGAGCAUUGAAACUUGGCUGCUUAUGUUUAUGUGGUCUCUGUAGUGAUGUGACCUGUGACCCACAAAGGACAAGGACCGAGCUUCUCCUGCUGCCCUGCCUUCGCUGCCAUUGUGGACCAUGUCCUCUGAGACAUUGACUCAAAAAUUUACCUCUCCUGCCUGUAAGGUACUUUAUUACUGUUAUGAGAAAAAUAGCUAAGGCAUGUAAGGUGAUCUCAUUUCAGCUCUGUUGAAUGUAUAUAGCAUGAAAGCCCCACACCAGGGGACACAGAAGCAGUAGCUAUACCCGUAUCCAUCUCCCUUUGCUCAUGUAUGAGAGAUUUGGUCCAUUUCCAUGCAGACUGAGUUCUGGGCUAUGAAUAGUCCUCAUGCAAAUUUUGUUGGCAAAUACUAGGUCAGGAUAUAGGAACCAACAGAAACCUUCUAAUUCCAUGGAAGCUCUUAGUAAGGCACCAAAAUGUAUGAACUCAAAAAGAAAAGCCACAGGAAGAGGGAGAUGGGUGAGGUGAAAGGAAUAUUGGUAAAACAAGCCAGCAGGGCAAGGGAGGUUCAUAUGGGCAAUAGGAAAGUUGUUAUAGAUGUGUUUAAACCAAGCCUCAGUCAUACUUGGGAAGCUUCCUCAGGAUGAAGGAGAUAAAAAACUGACUGGUGAGGAAGUGAGAAUGGUAGAAGACAGUGGGUAGAAUUUCCUCCUGCACAUCAUGUUUCUUAAGAGUAAACCCAUAGCAGUGAGAAAUCAAGGAACAAAUAGAAGUCAGUACCACAAGAUUUUCCUUAGCUGAAUGCUCUUAGUUUUACAAAUAGAUGGGGCUUUCUGGGGGAGACUUUAAACACACACAUAGAAAGAGAGAUGGCCCAAGGGCAAGAGGGCUCUUGCUAUAGAUGAAUGAGAGGGACCCAGUGGGUUAACUCAUCUCUUGCGCUGGGAUCAUGGGAUAGGUGGGGUAGGCUACACAAUGACUUCUCAGUGUAACAAGGCUGUGCCAGUGUCCAAGACAUGUCAGGAUCUGUGAAUAUUGGUCUCAACUUGUUCUUAGCCUUGGGACCUUGUUAUAUAUUUGUUCCUCUGUGCCUCCCUUGGUUCCCUCUUGGCUUAAUAGAACAUAGGUCCUCCCUUCCAAGAUUGCUAGAAAGUAGCAAGUAAAAAUACAAGAUUAUUUAAUCUUGGAUUUUCCAUAAACAAAUUAGGACACAUACUAAAGAAGUAUUUGUUUAACUAAAACUCCAGCUUAAAAUUCCAUUUAAAAAAAUUCUGGAAAUGGUCUUCUUUCACCCAGUGAAUUCUCUUAGUUCCAAGACUUUGAGUUCAUAUUUGAAUGUUUCUGCCCCUGUUGCUGAUAUCUUGCACAGCACAGAAUUAGGCAGAACAUUGAAAAGAAGCAAACUCUUCAGCAGUCUUUAGACCUGAGUCCCUCUGACUGAAGUCCUUGGCAGGUCCACAAAUUAGUUCUAAUUUUACUAUACAGUUUUGUCACACCUUAGAAUGUAGAAGGGUUAACACACAUGCAUAAAGUUUAUCUAAAAAAAAAACCUGACAUGUAAUUAAAAGUGUGUGUGCAUGUGUGUCUCACACAGAGUUGGCCAGAGUAAUGUUGUCUAAGUGUUAUCAGAAAUUAUCUCUUGUUAAUAUUUAAUGCAAUUAUUUCUGAUAAAUAUUUUUUCUGGACUUUUUAAGUGUUAACAUGAGACUGUAACAUCUGAUUGUAAAUAAUGGGCCUUUCAGUUUUAUUUUUUAACAGCCCCAUGAUAUAUUCGAUUAUAUAUAAUUGAAUGUAUGGUAUAACUAUAGCUGAUGACUUUUAAAAGGUAACAUUUUUCAUAAUGAUAUUAAUGGCGUUAUAAAAGGUUUCUGUUUCCAAAGAUGUAACUGGGGUCCACAUAUCCUUUGACAGACUUUAGCAUCCCAAAGCUGACAUCAGAGACACUCUCCUUUAGCCACUGCUUUCGUAAGUUGCUCAUUCCAUGGUGAGGUGGCAGGCUCCCUCCAUUGGCAAGGAUUUCAUCUUGAGCAGCUGCCUCAGUCUGUUCAGUCAGUGGGUCACUAAUUCCCCUGUAGUUAAAGGCAAAAUAGAAGCAGAUGCAUGCGCCUGCAUCAUACAUCUGCAUCACCCUGAAUGUAGAGUGAGGUGCAAACUCAGCUUCGCUUUCUUCGGAUUCCCUUCUUAUCCUCUCUUUUACAUUUCUAAACAGAUCUAUAACCCUGCCCCAAGGAGCCGAAGUCUCAAAAGAUUCUCCUAUUAUAUAUUAUUCAAAACCCAAAUCACGCAUGUAUGCAGUGACAUAAGUCAGCAAGUAAGCCCUCUGUCCCUUAACUUCUCCAGCUGCCAGACCACCAAACUUUGCUGUGAUGUCAUCUGCUUGUUUUUUUGUGCUGAAGAACCUUCUCACCGUCUCCCUCGAACAGUGAUGUGGCUAUGCUCAUGUGGCAACUCACACAGAGUUGUCCAGAACAAUGUUCUCUGUGUGUCCACAGCGAUUAACUCUUGUCAAUAUUGAAUGCAAUUAUUGUGAUAAAUAUUUUUCUGGACUUUAAAAGUGUUAACACGAGACUGUAACAUUUGAUCAUAAACAGUGGGCCUUUCUUCUUCUUUUUUUUUUCAAGUACUCGUGUGUUUUAGGAUGACACAUCUUUGAAAGUCUUAGCAGUUUGGCCAUAUAACUGAAGGAGCUAAAACAGGAGCUCCUGGUAAUUACACAUUGCUUCCCUCUUUCACCAGUGAAAAGUAAUUUAUGUUUUGGGGACCAGAAAUUAGUAUUUUUGGAAAGUCUCCCAAGCUGUAUCUGCCCUUGGACUGUCCUUCAGAAGGUAGGGACGUAGAGACAAACAGCUUAGAUUCCUUCCAUGUGAAGAAAGCCCUCCUCUCUGUCGACAGGGGUGUGACAGCCCUAAUGAGGAUGAAUAGCCACCUGUCCAGUGCUGCCUGCUGCCAAGUAAAUUUCCUAAAUGCUGCUGGAACCUUCCUUUGAGCUAUUCUGCUUAUUUGGACCAGAGGUCUUACUGAAUGUGAGAGAGGGAGACAGAGAUAUAUAGAGAGAGACACACAGAGAGAGACAGAGACACAGAGACUCAGACAGAGACAGAGAGACAGAGAUAUAGAGGGAGAGACUAUGUGUGCUCUUUUUUUAAUUCUCUUUUUUAUUAGAUAUUUUCUUCAUUUACAUUUCAAACGCUAUCUUAGAAGUCCCCUAUACCCUCCCCCCCUGUUCUUCUACCCACGCACUCCCACUUCUUGGUCCUGGCAUUCCCCUGUACUGAGGCAUAUAAAGUUUGCAAGACCAAGGGGCCUUUCUUCCCAAUGAUGGCUGACUAGGCCAUCUUCUGCUAUAUAUGCAGCUAGAGACAUGAGCUCUGGGGGUACUGGUUAGUUCAUAUUGUUGUUCCACCUAUAGGGUUGCAGACCCCUUCAGAUCCUUGGGUACUUUCUCUAGCUCCUCCAUUGGGGGCCCUGUGUGUGUUCUUGUGUGUGCACACAUGUGCAUGUGGAUGGGUGUGCAUGCAUGCAGAGGACAGAAUAGCAUUAGGUGUCUUCCUCAGUCAACCCCAAUCUCUCUUUUUUUUUUUUUUUUUUUUUUUAAUCAGGGGUUCUUCCUGAAAUCAGAACUCACAGAUUUGGCUACACUGGCUGGCCAGCUCCAGGAAUUCUCCUAUCUCCAUCUCCCUAGUGCUUGGAGUAUAGAUGAACACUGCCAUAUUUAGCUUUUUAUAUGGGUGCCGGGAAUCCAAACUUGGGUUCCCAGGCUUCUACUGCAAGCACUUUACUAAUAACUGUCUCCCCAGGCCCUGGAGUCUUUUAUAACAUAUUUGGAGUUUGAAAUGGGAGUGCCCCAAGCUUUGCCAUAGAAUUUCUGAGGGGAGCUGUGGACUGUCCUUAGGCCCAGCAUGAACAUGGGAACUUUCUGGUUCCAGCUAACCCAGGAGCUAGGCAGGAGGUGAGCUAACAUGCUGUUAUCAUCCUGGGGUAGGAAAGGCUACACUUCAGAGCACUCAAAGUGAUGCUGUCCAUCUGUAAGGAUGUAUGUCUUGGUAUUAACAUAUGCUUUCUCACCAGUGCAUUUGCUAGACUGAGAGAGGAACAGAGUGAAGGGUACUGCUGAGAUAGUCAAGCAGCCAGUAAUGCAAUCUGCAUUCACUUAGCACUUUCUAUUCAUGGCAUAGAUUUCUAAAUUAACUUUUAUCUUUGAGUCCUGAUUACUUAUGGAAAUUAGUGUCCAGUCAGUGAGGCUAAAGUGAUUCAUUCUUCCUGCCUUCCACUUAGGGGAAAGGACACUGCUCCACAACCCUUAGCUUCCUCCCACCUAGUUGUUGCUUCUUAUCUUUCUGGGGGAAAGAAAAGAUGGUUAGGGGAAAAGACAUUCCUGUGACCCAAAGUACCCAGAGACAAAUAUCCUUAUCACUUCAUUGUCUUUAUCUGAUCUUCAACAUAGUUUUUCAUUUACAAAAUCCCAGGUUUAUCUGACAGAUUUAAUUGAGAAAAAAAAAUCCAAAGCUUUUAAUUUGUUUCUGGAGUUUCAAAGAAUUGUUCAGUGAUCUUAGUACAAAACAUUACAAUCAGCAUACAACUCAUAUCUCCAUCUAUCUAUCCAUCCAUCCAUCCAUCCAUCCAUCCAUCCAUCCAUCCAAUAAUUUUAUACUGAACAAGAAGUAUGUAAAAUGAUGAAUAAAAAAUGGUACUCUCUUAAAACUUUCCAUCAAUCUAGCGGGGACGAUAUAACCCCCGCCUCAAGUUACGUAUUUUAAAUGUUUACCCAAGGGUAAUUAAGUAGGAAUUAUUGAUAGUGUGUAAGGAGAUGGCUCAGCAGGUCAGAGAGAUUGUUGUGCAAACAGAAGGACCUGAGUUUGAAUCUCCAGCAUCCACGUAAAAGAGUGGCAUGACUCCAUGUAACUAAACCCAAGUGCUGGUGAGAGGAGGCAGGAUGACAAUUUGGGCUUGCUGGGUGCCAGCCUGGGGUUGGAAUGGGCAGUGAGCUCCAGAUUCACUGAAAAGACCCUGUGUCCUAGUUUGGUUUCCGCUUUGUGUAAACACCAUGAACAAAAGCAACUUGUGGAGGAAAGGGUGUAUUUGGUUCAUAUCCCCAGUCACAGUCCACCACUGAAGAAAGUCAGGGCAGGAACCUAGAGGCAGGAAUGGAAGCAGAGACUAUGCAAGAAAGCUGCCUACUGGUUUGAUCCACAUGGCAUGUUCAGCCUACUUCCUUAUACAACCCAGCCACUUGUCAUGGAUGGCACCAUCCACAGCUGUUUGAGCAUUCCCACAUAAAUCAUUAAUCAAGAAAGUGUCCAACAGAGAAAUCUAUAGGCUAAUCUGAUGGAGGAAUUUUCUCAGUUGAAGCUCCCUCUUUCCAGAUAAUCAGGAUUCCUAUCAAGCUGAAAAACAGCAGCAGCAACAACAACAAAAACCAAGAAAAAGCAAAUCUACAACCAAGCUUAACAUAUCCUGUCUCAAGGAAAUUAGCAGAGAGUAAAUGAAGAAAAUAUCUUAUAUCUUUCUUUGGCCUCUGUGCAUAGGUGCAUGUAUACACACACACACACACACAUUACAGUAGAGAAUCAGACAGCAACUCAGUUCAAAUCCUAUUGCUUCCAUAUACUGUCUAUGAAAACUUGGGCAAAACAUUCAUCUUUUGGUAUUCUGGAUUUUUACUUAUAAAGGAGGAUAAAUAUAGUAUGUGUUUCAUCAGCUUUUCAGGAGGAUUAAAUGUAUUAUAUAUUUAUUUUAAAAAUCCAAGAUCAUACUAUAAAAGGUAAACAGAAUCAAAUAGAGAAUUUCUGCAAAUAUUUCAAAUCCCUUCCCAGCACCCCGCUAAAGCUUCUAUUCCUUUCUUCUUCGCCCUUGCCAAGUAGCACACACCCGCAUUUGUGUGACAAACAGACACAGAGAGUGGAUUGGUUUUAAGCAAGGACUCUUCUCUGAAAGAAGAUGCCAAGUUGUGUCUGGAAUUUUGUUUCUAAUAGGGCCAUUGAUUGCUGUAAAUAUUUAUUGUGCUAAAUAUAAUCACGGGAACUUAGGGGGUAAAGUCAAAAUGGCUGCUUAGAGAGGCUUACAUUCUGGAGUGCAAGGGAAAUAGGAAAGUAGCCAAAAGAGAGAGACAAAUUAUGGAAAAGGUGCUAUAUGAAAAAAAAAGUCUGAGAAAAGAGGUCAGGGGCACUGGUGGAGCGGGACAGGUCACCAUUCCUGUAGGUGGGUAGGGACAGAGCUCAGCAGGAUGACAUUUGAGCAAGGGUAUAGAGACCUUGUGUCAGUUGGUUGCAUAUGUACUGAGGGGACAAUGAUGAAGCACACGUCCAGGUCCAUUGUUCUGAGGGAGAGCAUACGGGGGCCGGGGUGCCUGGAGUCAAGGCAAGUAAGGAAGGUAGGAGCAGAGAGAUUAGCAUUUGAGGGGAGCUGUCCACCCUUUCCACAGUGCAAUGACUCCCUAGCAUGAGUGUGUAUCAGAGCUAUUAGAUACACGAUCUACAGAAGCUGAGAGUGUUCAACAUUUCUAAAAAAUACCCAGGACAGACUUCUGCUGGAAUGUGGGGUCUAAAUUUGGAGACUCCUCAUUAUCUAGAGCACAGUUUCACUAGCUUAUAUAUCUCUAAACGAGUCAAUUGUGUUUGUUGGGUAAAGUUUCAUUAUUUUGUAUAUCUCUAUAUAUACAAAUUGUCUACAAAACUUGAAAAUAUGUCUCUUAUAUUUAAAUAAUUAGAAUUGCUUUCUUUCUUCCACGUAUCUUGCAUUUGUCACUAGAGAAAACAAAACAUUAAUAAUAUAAAUACUUUCAAAAUAAUUAUUUACAGUGUUAAACAUUUUUCUUUGUAUAAACACAAUGUAUAUGUUUUGGUGGUAUUGCUAAGUACAUAGAGUCCUUCCCAGACUCCAAUUUAGGAAUCCUUACUCCAGGACAUGAUAAGUUCAUUCAGCAUUCAUAGAUUAGCCUGAUGGGUCUCUAUCGGUUCUCAUCUUGCCAAUGGACUGGAGAGGAAACACAAGAUUUGACCUCAAACUCAGGGUAGGCCAGAGACAACUCUUACAAUGUUUCUGAUUUAAGCUGUUGGCUAUGAUGAUAAAAGUUCUUCAGUCCCACUAUAAAUACAUUUCAGUAUUUUCACUGAAUUAGAAUUGUGAAGGACUUUGAUACCAAUAUAAAUUUGGGCCCCUUGGAAUACUGUUAAUAUUUAAAGACUUUUCAUGGUACGCUGGUUAGUUUUGGUCAACUUAACACAAACCUAGACAUAUCUGAGAAUAAGAAGCCUCAACUGAAGAAUCACAUUCCUCAGAUUAGCCCAUGGGCAUGUCUGUGGGUCGUUUUCUUGAUUGCUAAUUGAUAUUGAAGGGCCCUGCCCACUAUGGGCAGAGGCAUCCCUAGGCAGUUGGGCCUGAGCUGUAUAAGAGAGAUAGUUAAGUGCUGUAGUUCGAAUGAAAAUGUGCCUCCUCCACCUCCAUAGGCUUAUGUGUUAAAAUAUUUGGUCUCCAGUUGAUGAAACUAUUUGGAAAGGAUCAGGACAUUUGGUCUUGUUAGGAGGGGAUGUGUUUUACUGGUUUAGAGAUUUCAAAAGACUCACACCAUUUCCAGGGCGCUUUCUCUGCCGCCUGCUUGUGGACCAAGAUAUAAGUUUUUAGCUGUUCCUGCUGCCAUACAUUUUCUCUCUUUGUUGUAAAUUCUAAUCCAAUUAAAUGCUUUCUUUUUUUUAUAAGUCACUUUAGUCAUGGUGUUUUAUCACAGCAAAGCAAAGGGUGACAGGAAGUGGGCUGUUGUUUGGAGGAAUGUAAAAGACAUUAGGACUUUGUAGGAAAGAAAUUGAAUGCUGUAAGCAGAGCCUAACAGGUUAUCCUCAUUGGAGUUUGGAAGACAGUAGCAAUGUGAGCUAUGUGGAUUACUGAGGCCUAGUUCAAAAAGUUUCAGAAGGGAACAACAUUAGCAACCAGGCUGGAGACUUGUUUUGAUGGUAUUUUGGCAAAGAAUGGCUGCUAUUUUCCUUUGUCCUAAGACUCUGAGCAAGACAAAGCUAAAAGGUAAUGGGCUAACUUCUUAAGAGGAAGAAACCUCAAGACAACCUAAUUCUGAUUCUGUCAUGUGGGUAUGCAGUGCUACAUUGAAAAAGAGCAACUGGGGCAAAAAGAAAUACAAGAUGUACAGUAUGAAGAGAAAAAGAACACCACCAGGAAAUUUAAUGUUGGAGCCAGGACUUAUGUUGGAAGAGAUGAGAUUAAAGAAAGAUUUGAUCUAAAUUAGAAUAAAGAGAGAGAUGCCCUCAGGAGGCUCCAUCCAUCUAAACUUCCCACUUUUGGAAGGAAAAGGACUUCAGUAUGUUUUCCUCCUAAAGAGCAACAACAAAAACAAUCUACUGCAAAUUUGGUUCAAAGAUUAUUGGCUCUAUCCCAAGUGAGUAGCCAAAUUUGUCCAUGUGAUUUGGGCUUUAGAGUUAUAGUUACAUGAAUAAAGGGGUUGUGGAAUCU